CAGGCUUAACACAUGCAAGUCGGGGGGCAGCAUCAUCAAAGCUUGCUUUGAUGGAUGGCGACCGGCGCACGGGUGAGUAACACGUAUCCAACCUGCCGACAACACUGGGAUAGCCUUUCGAAAGAAAGAUUAAUACCGGAUGGCAUAGUCUUCCCGCAUGGGAUUAUUAUUAAAGAAUUUCGGUUGUCGAUGGGGAUGCGUUCCAUUAGGCAGUUGGCGGGGUAACGGCCCACCAAACCUACGAUGGAUAGGGGUUCUGAGAGGAAGGUCCCCCACAUUGGAACUGAGACACGGUCCAAACUCCUACGGGAGGCAGCAGUGAGGAAUAUUGGUCAAUGGACGAGAGUCUGAACCAGCCAAGUAGCGUGAAGGAUGACUGCCCUAUGGGUUGUAAACUUCUUUUAUACGGGAAUAAAGUGAGCCACGUGUGGCUUUUUGUAUGUACCGUAUGAAUAAGGAUCGGCUAACUCCGUGCCAGCAGCCGCGGUAAUACGGAGGAUCCGAGCGUUAUCCGGAUUUAUUGGGUUUAAAGGGAGCGUAGGCGGGUUGUUAAGUCAGUUGUGAAAGUUUGCGGCUCAACCGUAAAAUUGCAGUUGAUACUGGCGACCUUGAGUGCAACAGAGGUAGGCGGAAUUCGUGGUGUAGCGGUGAAAUGCUUAGAUAUCACGAAGAACUCCGAUUGCGAAGGCAGCUUACUGGAUUGUAACUGACGCUGAUGCUCGAAAGUGUGGGUAUCAAACAGGAUUAGAUACCCUGGUAGUCCACACAGUAAACGAUGAAUACUCGCUGUUGGCGAUAUACAGUCAGAGGCCAAGCGAAAGCAUUAAGUAUUCCACCUGGGGAGUACGCCGGCAACGGUGAAACUCAAAGGAAUUGACGGGGGCCCGCACAAGCGGAGGAACAUGUGGUUUAAUUCGAUGAUACGCGAGGAACCUUACCCGGGCUUAAAUUGCAACUGACUGAACCGGAAACGGUUCUUUCUUCGGACAGUUGUGAAGGUGCUGCAUGGUUGUCGUCAGCUCGUGCCGUGAGGUGUCGGCUUAAGUGCCAUAACGAGCGCAACCCUUACGGGUAGUUACCAUCAGGUUAUGCUGGGGACUCUACCCGGACUGCCGUCGUAAGAUGUGAGGAAGGUGGGGAUGACGUCAAAUCAGCACGGCCCUUACGUCCGGGGCUACACACGUGUUACAAUGGGGGGUACAGAAGGCAGCUACACGGCGACGUGGUGCUAAUCCCGAAAGCCUCUCUCAGUUCGGAUUGGAGUCUGCAACCCGACUCCAUGAAGCUGGAUUCGCUAGUAAUCGCGCAUCAGCCACGGCGCGGCGAAUACGUUCCCGGGCCUUGUACACACCGCCCGUCAAGCCAUGAAAGCCGGGGGUACCUGAAGUACGUAACCGCGAGGAGCGUCCUAGGGUAAAACUGGUGAUUGGGGCUAAGUC
RNAcentral lists this ribosomal RNA (1439 nucleotides) under uncultured organism. RNAcentral describes it as "16S ribosomal RNA". It matches the Rfam family "Bacterial small subunit ribosomal RNA". The record is from RNAcentral.